AGCAGCCGCGGUAAUUCCAGCUCCAAUAGCGUAUAUUAAAGUUGUUGCAGUUAAAAAGCUCGUAGUUGAAUUUCGGGAUCAAUUUAUUGGUCGUGCUAUUGUACGUACUGGUGUUAUUGAUUCCUACCUUCUGACGAACCAUGAUGUCAUUAAUUUGGUGUCUUGGGGAAUCAGGACUGUUACUUUGAAAAAAUUAGAGUGUUUAAAGCAGGCUCACGCUUGAAUACAUUAGCAUGGAAUAACGAAAUAGGACGUUUGAUUCUAUUUUGUUGGUUUCUAGGAUCGACGUAAUGAUUAAUAGGGAUAGUUGGGGGCAUUAGUAUUCAAUUGUCAGAGGUGAAAUUCUUGGAUUUAUUGAAGACUAACUACUGCGAAAGCAUUUGCCAAAGAUGUUUUCAUUAAUCAAGAACGAAAGUUAGGGGAUCGAAGACGAUCAGAUACCGUCGUAGUCUUAACCAUAAACUAUGCCGACUAGGGAUCGGAUGAUGUUAAUUUUUUAAUGACUCA
Molecule: ribosomal RNA, 507 nt
Filed under: uncultured Glomus
Lineage: Eukaryota; Fungi; Glomeromycota; Glomeromycetes; Glomerales; Glomeraceae
Description: SSU rRNA
Rfam family: Eukaryotic small subunit ribosomal RNA
Source: RNAcentral